This 496-nucleotide ribosomal RNA is filed under the name uncultured bacterium. RNAcentral describes it as "partial 16S ribosomal RNA". It matches the Rfam family "Bacterial small subunit ribosomal RNA", at positions 29 to 507 of the family's 1533-position model. The record is from RNAcentral.
AUGAACGCUGGCGGCGUGCCUAAUACAUGCAAGUCGAGCGAACAGACGAGGAGCUUGCUCCUCUGACGUUAGCGGCGGACGGGUGAGUAACACGUGGAUAACCUACCUAUAAGACUGUGAUAACUUCGGGAAACCGGAGCUAAUACCGGAUAAUAUAUUGAACCGCAUGGUUCAAUAGUGAAAGACGGUUUUGCUGUCACUUAUAGAUGGAUCCGCGCCGCAUUAGAUAGUUGGUAAGGUAACGGCUUACCAAGGCGACGAUGCGUAGCCGACCUGAGAGGGUGAUCGGCCACACUGGAACUGAGACACGGUACAGACUCCUACGGGAGGCAGCAGUAGGGAAUCUUACGCAAUGGGCGAGAGCCUGACGGAGCAACGCCGCGUGAGUGAUGAAGGUCUUCGGAUCGUAAAACUCUGUUAUUAGGGAAGAACAAAUGUGUAAGUAACUAUGCACGUCUUGACGGUACCUAAUCAGAAAGCCACGGCUAACUACGUG